RNAcentral lists this ribosomal RNA (467 nucleotides) under uncultured bacterium. RNAcentral describes it as "bacterial SSU rRNA". It matches the Rfam family "Bacterial small subunit ribosomal RNA", at positions 28 to 496 of the family's 1533-position model. The record is from RNAcentral.
GAUGAACGCUAGCGGCAGGCUUAACACAUGCAAGUCGAGGGGUAUGCCGAUCUAUCGGCAGAGACCGGCGCACGGGUGCGUAACGCGUAUGCAAUCUACCUUUCACAGAGGGAUAGCCCAGAGAAAUUUGGAUUAAUACCUCAUAGUAUAGCAGUUUCGCAUGAAACCACUAUUAAAGUUCCAACGGUGAAAGAUGAGCAUGCGUCCCAUUAGCUAGAUGGUAAGGUAACGGCUUACCAUGGCUACGAUGGGUAGGGGUCCUGAGAGGGAGAUCCCCCACACUGGUACUGAGACACGGACCAGACUCCUACGGGAGGCAGCAGUGAGGAAUAUUGGUCAAUGGACGCAAGUCUGAACCAGCCAUGCCGCGUGCAGGAUGACGGUCCUAUGGAUUGUAAACUGCUUUUGUACGAGAAGAAACAACAUUACGUGUAAUGUCUUGACGGUAUCGUAAGAAUAAGGAUCGG